GAUGGACGCUGGCGGCGUGCCUAAUACAUGCAAGUCGAGCGAACGGACGAGAAGCUUGCUUCUCUGAUGUUAGCGGCGGACGGGUGAGUAACACGUGGAUAACCUACCUAUAAGACUGGGAUAACUUCGGGAAACCGGAGCUAAUACCGGAUAAUAUUUUGAACCGCAUGGUUCAAAAGUGAAAGACGGUCUUGCUGUCACUUAUAGAUGGAUCCGCGCUGCAUUAGCUAGUUGGUAAGGUAACGGCUUACCAAGGCAACGAUGCAUAGCCGACCUGAGAGGGUGAUCGGCCACACUGGAACUGAGACACGGUCCAGACUCCUACGGGAGGCAGCAGUAGGGAAUCUUCCGCAGUGGGCGAAAGCCUGACGGAGCAACGCCGCGUGAGUGAUGAAGGUCUUCGGAUCGUAAAACUCUGUUAUUAGGGAAGAACAUAUGUGUAAGUAACUGUGCACAUCUUGACGGUACCUAAUCAGAAAGCCACGGCUAACUACGUG
This 497-nucleotide ribosomal RNA is filed under the name uncultured bacterium. RNAcentral's name for it is "partial 16S ribosomal RNA". It matches the Rfam family "Bacterial small subunit ribosomal RNA", at positions 28 to 507 of the family's 1533-position model. The record is from RNAcentral.